CCUACGGGAGGCAGCAGUGGGGAAUAUUGCACAAUGGGCGAAAGCCUGAUGCAGCAACGCCGCGUGAGCGAUGAAGGCCUUCGGGUUGUAAAGCUCUUUCCUCAUGGAAGAUAAUGACGCUACUUGAGGAGGAUGCUCCGGCAAACUCCGCGCCCGCAGCCCCGGUAAUAUGCAGGGGGCUAGCGGUAUCCGGAUUUACGGGGCGUAAAGCGGGCGUAGGUGGUUUCUUAAGUAGGAGGUGAAAGGCUAGGGUUCAACCGUAGAAAGCAUUUGAAAAUGUGGAACUUGAGUGCAGGAGAGGAGGGUGGAAUUCCUAGUGUAGCGGUGAAAUGCGUAGAUAUUAGGAGGAACACCAGUUGCGAAGGCGGCUCUCUGGACUGUAACUGACACUGAGGCACGAAAGCGUGGGGAGCAAACAGGAUUAGAUACCCUAGUAGUC
RNAcentral lists this ribosomal RNA (439 nucleotides) under uncultured bacterium. Its description in RNAcentral is "partial 16S ribosomal RNA". It matches the Rfam family "Bacterial small subunit ribosomal RNA", at positions 338 to 795 of the family's 1533-position model. The record is from RNAcentral.